CUGUGAGUAUGUUAAUUUAAACUUUCACUUUUCAAGAGUGAUAAUGAUCUGCUGAUCUUCACAGC
This 65-nucleotide transfer RNA is filed under the name Polyplax reclinata. Its description in RNAcentral is "tRNA-Trp". Lineage: Eukaryota; Metazoa; Arthropoda; Insecta; Psocodea; Polyplacidae. The record is from RNAcentral.